Long non-coding RNA from Micropterus salmoides (largemouth bass), 1303 nucleotides. RefSeq lists it as uncharacterized. The transcript has 5 exons. Lineage: Eukaryota; Metazoa; Chordata; Actinopteri; Centrarchiformes; Centrarchidae. The record is from RefSeq and is a predicted model, not a curated record.
UUUGCCUUGCGUCCUGCAUUUGGGUCCUCCAACCUGCUCAACCCUGCCUUCACCUCAAAACCGUGACAAGGAAAAGCUGUCUGCAGGAUCAAAGGAGCCUGAAUCCUGGUGAUGGCCUGCCUUGUUUGAUGUCUUGCAAGUCAAUGUGUGUGAGUUCCAGAGGAUCAUCACACUGAAUCUUGAACCAAAAUUCACAUCAAUGUUGGACUUGUAUUCCACCAACAGCUGUCCCUGUCCAAGGCGAAGAAGGGUGCUGCAGGCGAGUGACAUCGGGCAGAUAGUGGAAUCUUCAUUCAGCAAAACAAGAGGUCAUCAUCCGAUGUCUCCUUGACCACCUGGGAGAAGAUACAAGUGCCUUGAUGAAGGACUUUGAGAAUGCAGCAAAUGCACCUGUCGGUGUUCAAGAGGAGUUGGGACGAGAGGUGAAGCUUUACCUGCUGCGGAACCAAGAUGGGUCAGUCAAAGAACCUACUGAUGUAGGGACUGAGAAUAAAGGCAUCACUGUCCUCAGACUGAUGCUAGUUGUAGGGACUAACCUAUGCCUUGGAUCUGAAAACCCCAAGAAUCUCAAAAGUUACAGUUUUGAGGUCUUCCAAAAAGUGCUGCUUCAGUGACUGAAAAAUUACCUGUGUACCUUGCUGACUACUGUCUGGCAAGAUGCUCUUAUAAUGUGGCUGGUGGAUUGUCUUAAUGUUUACUUAAGAGAACAUUGGAUUUUGGACUGGUAUUCAGUUCUGUUGUGUAAGUGUAAGUGUAAAAAUGUUUCACCAAUAAAUUAAAGUUUAUCCCAGUAAUAGUUUUUAGAGUGUAGUUGUCCAGCGCUAAAAAGCUGCGUGAGGAAAUCAUUGCGAAGACUAAAUUUGCGUUGUAUGUGAACACAGCUAAGAGGAGGCCAGAAGAAUGUCCUUCAUACAUUUUGUAUGAGUAAACACAAAAAUGUUGAAAUGUGCUUUAAACUGGAAUUGUGUCCCUGAUUAACUUUCUAUUAGCAGAGUUGGGUCUAUAUACUUAUUGAUAUUAUAUUCCUGGUUAGCACAAGCUAAGAAAUCUAUGUACUUUAUAUUUCCUUGAUGUUAUGACAUGUAUAAUUUUAUUGUCAAAAUAACUAUUUCAGAAAACAACAUUAAAUUGUUUUCAUUUUCUGCAGAUGGCUGAUAUUUGUACUGUAAUUUAACUGUGUGGGGGUUAAAAAAGUUGGCCCUUCCUACAACCCAAAAAAUGUUGCCACCUAACUAAAUCCAGGCAGCAAUUUUGUUUCUAGCAAAAUGUAUUAAGCAAAAGAAAAUACUACACAUUAACUUAC